GACGUCGAAGGAUCGACGCAGGCUGACCAAGGAUGGAUGGCCAUGGACAGUCGCAGGAUCGCGGCUACUUCGUCAGGAUGACGAACCCACGGAUGGGAACGACACGAAGCGGCGAGGCUAACCCCUCGCCGUUUUUGU
This 138-nucleotide small RNA is filed under the name Azotobacter beijerinckii. The record is from RNAcentral. Lineage: Bacteria; Pseudomonadati; Pseudomonadota; Gammaproteobacteria; Pseudomonadales; Pseudomonadaceae.